AGAGUUUGAUCCUGGCUCAGGAUGAACGCUGGCGGCGUGCUUAACACAUGCAAGUCGAACGAAGCAGCGGCGCGGAACCCCUCCGGGGAGGAAGCGCUGCUGACUGAGUGGCGGACGGGUGAGUAACGCGUGGGUAACCUGCCCCAUACAGGGGGAUAACAGCUGGAAACGGCUGCUAAUACCGCAUAAUCCUGCGGGGCCGCAUGGCCCUGCAUGGAAAGCUUUGGCGGUAUGGGAUGGGCCCGCGUCUGAUUAGGCAGUUGGCGGGGUAACGGCCCACCAAACCGACGAUCAGUAGCCGGCCUGAGAGGGCGACCGGCCACAUUGGGACUGAGACACGGCCCAAACUCCUACGGGAGGCAGCAGUGGGGAAUAUUGCACAAUGGGGGGAACCCUGAUGCAGCGACGCCGCGUGGGUGAAGAAGUAUUUCGGUAUGUAAAGCCCUGUCAGCAGGGAAGAAGAAUGACGGUACCUGACCAAGAAGCACCGGCUAAAUACGUG
This 502-nucleotide ribosomal RNA is filed under the name uncultured Lachnospiraceae bacterium. RNAcentral's name for it is "bacterial SSU rRNA". It matches the Rfam family "Bacterial small subunit ribosomal RNA", at positions 8 to 507 of the family's 1533-position model. Lineage: Bacteria; Bacillati; Bacillota; Clostridia; Lachnospirales; Lachnospiraceae. The record is from RNAcentral.